This 283-nucleotide ribosomal RNA is filed under the name uncultured prokaryote. Its description in RNAcentral is "partial 16S ribosomal RNA". It matches the Rfam family "Bacterial small subunit ribosomal RNA", at positions 524 to 817 of the family's 1533-position model. The record is from RNAcentral.
UACGUAGGGGGCUAGCGUUAUCCGGAAUUACUGGGCGUAAAGGGUGCGUAGGCGGUCUUUCAAGCCAGAAGUGAAGGGCUACGGCUCAACCGUAGUAAGCUUUUGGAACUGUAAGACUUGAGUGCAGGAGGGGAAAGCGGAAUUCCCAGUGUAGCGGUGAAAUGCGUAGAUAUUGGGAAGAACACCGGUGGCGAAGGCGGCUUUCUGGACUGUAACUGACACUGAGGCACGAAAGCGUGGGGAGCAAACAGGAUUAGAUACCCGCGUAGUCCCUGAGCGGGCU